Molecule: ribosomal RNA, 420 nt
Filed under: uncultured soil bacterium
Lineage: Bacteria
Description: bacterial SSU rRNA
Rfam family: Bacterial small subunit ribosomal RNA
Source: RNAcentral
AGAACGAACGCUGGCGGCAGGCCUAACACAUGCAAGUCGAACUCCCUAGCAAUAGGGAGUGGCAGACGGGUGAGUAACGCGUGGGAACCUUCCCUAUAGUACGGAAUAUACCAGGGAAACUUGGAGCAAUACCGUAUACGCCCGAAAGGGGAAAGAUUUAUCGCUAUAGGAUGGGCCCGCGUAGGAUUAGCUAGUUGGUGAGGUAAUGGCUCACCAAGGCGACGAUCCUUAGCUGGUCUGAGAGGAUGAUCAGCCACACUGGGACUGAGACACGGCCCAGACUCCUACGGGAGGCAGCAGUGGGGAAUAGUUGGGCAAUGGGCGCGAAGCCUGACCCAGCCAGUCGCCGCGUGAGUGACGACGGCCUUAGGGUUAGUAAAGCUUCGUUUUGGGCGGGACGUAGUAAGUGACCGGUACCCG